GAUUAUCGCCUUCUUUAAUUUCUAUUUUCUAUAAUAUUAGAAGUUCUAUAUUAUUUAUGACCUUUAUUUUGUGUGUUUGACAGGACGAUGCACAUAUUUUCUGUAGGAAGUCCCAGAUAAAAGAUGAAGUCAUAAAAGCCUUGAACUUCAUGGAUUAUGUCUAUCAAAUAUUUGGUUUCACAUAUGAAGUGAAACUUUCAACAAGGCCAGAGAAAAUCUUUAAAGAUCUUGUAAUGUGGG
Cicer arietinum (chickpea) is the source of this 240-nucleotide long non-coding RNA. RefSeq lists it as uncharacterized. Lineage: Eukaryota; Viridiplantae; Streptophyta; Magnoliopsida; Fabales; Fabaceae. The record is from RefSeq and is a predicted model, not a curated record.